RNAcentral lists this ribosomal RNA (429 nucleotides) under Chloroflexota bacterium. RNAcentral describes it as "Chloroflexi bacterium partial 16S ribosomal RNA". It matches the Rfam family "Bacterial small subunit ribosomal RNA", at positions 355 to 776 of the family's 1533-position model. The record is from RNAcentral. Lineage: Bacteria; Bacillati; Chloroflexota.
UGGGGAAUAUUGCACAAUGGGCGCAAGCCUGAUGCAGCCAUGCCGCGUGUGUGAAGAAGGCCUUCGGGUUGUAAAGCACUUUCAGCGGGGAGGAAGGCGAUAAGGUUAAUAACCUUGUCGAUUGACGUUACCCGCAGAAGAAGCACCGGCUAACUCCGUGCCAGCAGCCGCGGUAAUACGGAGGGUGCAAGCGUUAAUCGGAAUUACUGGGCGUAAAGCGCACGCAGGCGGUCUGUCAAGUCGGAUGUGAAAUCCCCGGGCUCAACCUGGGAACUGCAUUCGAAACUGGCAGGCUAGAGUCUUGUAGAGGGGGGUAGAAUUCCAGGUGUAGCGAUGAAAUGCGUAAAGAUCUGGAGGAAUACCGGUGGCGAAGGCGGCCCCCUGGACAAAGACUGACGCUCAGGUGCGAAAGCGUGUGGAGCAAACAGG